AGAGUUUGAUCCUGGCUCAGGAUGAACGCUGGCGGCGUGCCUAAUACAUGCAAGUCGAGCGAACGGACGAGAAGCUUGCUUCUCUGAUGUUAGCGGCGGACGGGUGAGUAACACGUGGAUAACCUACCUAUAAGACUGGGAUAACUUCGGGAAACCGGAGCUAAUACCGGAUAAUAUUUUGAACCGCAUGGUUCAAAAGUGAAAGACGGUCUUGCUGUCACUUAUAGAUGGAUCCGCGCUGCAUUAGCUAGUUGGUAAGGUAACGGCUUACCAAGGCAACGAUGCAUAGCCGACCUGAGAGGGUGAUCGGCCACACUGGAACUGAGACACGGUCCAGACUCCUACGGGAGGCAGCAGUAGGGAAUCUUCCGCAAUGGGCGAAAGCCUGACGGAGCAACGCCGCGUGAGUGAUGAAGGUCUUCGGAUCGUAAAACUCUGUUAUUAGGGAAGAACAUAUGUGUAAGUAACUGUGCACAUCUUGACGGUACCUAAUCAGAAAGCCACGGCUAACUACGUGCCAGCAGCCGCGGUAAUACGUAGGUGGCAAGCGUUAUCCGGAAUUAUUGGGCGUAAAGCGCGCGUAGGCGGUUUUUUAAGUCUGAUGUGAAAGCCCACGGCUCAACCGUGGAGGGUCAUUGGAAACUGGAAAACUUGAGUGCAGAAGAGGAAAGUGGAAUUCCAUGUGUAGCGGUGAAAUGCGCAGAGAUAUGGAGGAACACCAGUGGCGAAGGCGACUUUCUGGUCUGUAACUGACGCUGAUGUGCGAAAGCGUGGGGAUCAAACAGGAUUAGAUACCCUGGUAGUCCACGCCGUAAACGAUGAGUGCUAAGUGUUAGGGGGUUUCCGCCCCUUAGUGCUGCAGCUAACGCAUUAAGCACUCCGCCUGGGGAGUACGACCGCAAGGUUGAAACUCAAAGGAAUUGACGGGGACCCGCACAAGCGGUGGAGCAUGUGGUUUAAUUCGAAGCAACGCGAAGAACCUUACCAAAUCUUGACAUCCUUUGACAACUCUAGAGAUAGAGCCUUCCCCUUCGGGGGACAAAGUGACAGGUGGUGCAUGGUUGUCGUCAGCUCGUGUCGUGAGAUGUUGGGUUAAGUCCCGCAACGAGCGCAACCCUUAAGCUUAGUUGCCAUCAUUAAGUUGGGCACUCUAAGUUGACUGCCGGUGACAAACCGGAGGAAGGUGGGGAUGA
RNAcentral lists this ribosomal RNA (1193 nucleotides) under Staphylococcus aureus VET0061R. RNAcentral describes it as "bacterial SSU rRNA". It matches the Rfam family "Bacterial small subunit ribosomal RNA", at positions 8 to 1182 of the family's 1533-position model. Lineage: Bacteria; Bacillati; Bacillota; Bacilli; Caryophanales; Staphylococcaceae. The record is from RNAcentral.